Molecule: unclassified non-coding RNA, 1389 nt
Filed under: Hevea brasiliensis (rubber tree)
Lineage: Eukaryota; Viridiplantae; Streptophyta; Magnoliopsida; Malpighiales; Euphorbiaceae
Source: RNAcentral
GUCACAUCAUAUAGAUAGCAUAAUAUUGUUCAUCCAUUGACAAAAUCUUAUCUGAAAGCCUGUACAAUCAAAAUAUCAUUAAACUAUAUUAAAUUUUUAUCAUUAACAAUAAAUCCAUAGUUGAGCAGCCAAGCCCAAACGUUUGUGGCUAUAGACACCUUGCAUAUAUUCAUUGCAAUGCUCUAUUGCACUCUUGGCUUGCAAAGAUCAUCUGCAUGAUGUUUAUGCAUGACAGGUAUCUUAUUGUUCAGUAAAUUCCUGAGAAAUGAAUAGAAUAACUAUACUACAGGUUCGGUACUCCACUUGGGGUGAAUCCGGUUCUCUACUGAAACUUGAAAGCCCUCUUACCAGCUCCCAGGCUGUACUGCAAUCAAUUUCUUGCUGAUGAAAAUUAUUCAUGUUAUGCGUAAAUGGGGAAUACUUUGACAUGACUUUGUCUGUACGGUCCAGUCUUCACAUAUUGUUUGAAGCAAAUGGAUCAUAAUUUGGAUGAAGCACCUGAGAGAGCAUGACUGACCAGCUCCCGCCUCAGGAUCUUCCCUGCUGCAGUUUUUGGGAUAGAAUUGAUAAAAGCUACUCGCCUUAUCUUCUUGUACGGUGCAACCUGUUCUGCGAUGAAAUCCAUAGUCUGAGCCUCAGUAAUAUUGCUUCCCGGUUUUCUAACUACAUAGGCCAUGGGAAUUUGCCCAGCCUCUUCAUCAGGAUAACUGCUUCCAGAAAACACAAGACGACGAUGAAAUGACAGGACUUGUUAGCUCUUCACUAGGAAUGCAUAACCGCCAUGAAAUUCUAUAAACAAGCUAAUACACCAUGGGAAAAUAUGAAACUAGUCUUCUUCCAUAUUCUUUGCCCCUCAAAAUAUUGGCCUUCUAUACAACUAGAUUCCAAGCUUUUGGCCCUUGAACUUGUUGAAAUCCAAUAUGGUGAACAAUGUUGCUAUUAUUUCUAACCAUUCACCAAGAGAGGAAAAUAACGAUUACCCCCAUGAUUAUUAUUAUCAAUUAAAAUUGUCAUAACAAGCCUCUCUAAAAUUGACAAUUUACAGAUUUAGACAAUUUUUAUUUAAUGCAAAAAUCCCUGAAAAUAUAAAAUGGUUUCAACAAGUAAUUCAUCUUUAUUGGGAUUCUCAACAGAUGAAUCUCUUUCACUUUAAUCACAUUUCAAGUUAUUGAAUUGGCUAAGAACAUCUUGUCAAUUUAUUGAUCCAGCAAAGGUGAAGCAAAAGCAAGAAUGAAGGUAGCAAACAAAAAAUGUGAAGAAACUGUACGUAUGCCUCCUAUGCUGUAUAUUGCCCAACAAAUUCAGAGAACUACAGAAGAAUCUAUGCCUUAAGAGCAGUACUAUACUACUAAACACUAACAUUAUUUUGUAUUUUUCAAUUGGGCCCUA